This 584-nucleotide ribosomal RNA is filed under the name uncultured beta proteobacterium. RNAcentral's name for it is "bacterial SSU rRNA". It matches the Rfam family "Bacterial small subunit ribosomal RNA", at positions 338 to 916 of the family's 1533-position model. The record is from RNAcentral. Lineage: Bacteria; Pseudomonadati; Pseudomonadota; Betaproteobacteria.
CCUACGGGAGGCAGCAGUGGGGAAUUUUGGACAAUGGGGGCAACCCUGAUCCAGCAAUGCCGCGUGAGUGAAGAAGGCCUUCGGGUUGUAAAGCUCUUUUGUCAGGGAAGAAACAGCAGCUCUAGCACAGUCUGCGAAUGACGGUACCUGAAGAAUAAGCACCGGCUAACUACGUGCCAGCAGCCGCGGUAAUACGUAGGGUGCGAGCGUUAAUCGGAAUUACUGGGCGUAAAGCGUGCGCAGGCGGUUAUACAAGACAGGCGUGAAAUCCCCGGGCUUAACCUGGGAAUGGCGUCUGUGACUGUAUAGCUAGAGUGUGUCAGAGGGGGGUGGAAUUCCACGUGUAGCAGUGAAAUGCGUAGAUAUGUGGAGGAACACCAAUGGCGAAGGCAGCCCCCUGGGAUAACACUGACGCUCAUGCACGAAAGCGUGGGGAGCAAACAGGAUUAGAUACCCUGGUAGUCCACGCCCUAAACGAUGCUGACUAGUUGUUGGGAAUUUACAUUCUCAGUAACGUAGCUAACGCGUGAAGUCAGCCGCCUGGGGAGUACGGUCGCAAGAUUAAAACUCAAAGGAAUUGACGG